UUUUUAAAAGGGGCUAUGACUUGUUUUUUAUUUUUUUAUGUGUUUUAUAUUGUAGGCAGAUCACCGUGCAACUUGGUGAAGUCAUGUGUCUUUCCAGAUGGCCAAAUCUGUACCCCUCAAAAAAACUUUAUUAAAUGCCAUGAUAGACAAGAUGAGCCUUAAGAGGAGAUUUGGGAAGAUGCUGUUUCAUAAGUCUUUGCUUUGCCAGAUUAUUUGUGGUUGGGGUGUCUGCCAACGUGAUGCCUUGCUGGUCUGGUUUGAGUUUGAAGUCUCUCACAGACAGUCCAGAAGGUCUGGAGUCCAUCUUAGCUUUCAUUGAUGCUGUCAUCAUUUUUUAAGUGCAUGAGCCAGAAUGGACGGGUGGUGGUGGCCAUAAGAAGACUGUCAACUAAACUAGGGUGACCAUACGUGCCAUUCUUCCCGGACCCGUCCUGUCCAGUCUUUUGGAACUCCUAUUUGUCGACCGCAUACGUCACAGAGGAUUAUUAUUUUUAUUACAGAAAAGCAACCGUUACAUUUUAAGGUAAGAAGAAUGAAACUACGAUUGUAUAUCUUAUGUUUUUAACUGAAUGGCGUAUGCGGUCAACAAAUACGACUUCCGGAAGACGCACCGAAAUCCUGGACGGGAUGCGUCCGGGAAGAAUGGCACGUAUGGUCACCCUAACUAAACCAACAACAAAAUUCAUAUUUGCAGUUAUAAAUAAAAUGACUUUUAAACCUGAUUUUGUUUUCUUAUUUUAU
Non-coding RNA from Paramisgurnus dabryanus, 741 nucleotides. The record is from RefSeq and is a predicted model, not a curated record. Lineage: Eukaryota; Metazoa; Chordata; Actinopteri; Cypriniformes; Cobitidae.